Molecule: ribosomal RNA, 496 nt
Filed under: uncultured bacterium
Lineage: Bacteria
Description: partial 16S ribosomal RNA
Rfam family: Bacterial small subunit ribosomal RNA
Source: RNAcentral
AUUGAACGCUGGCGGCAUGCCUUACACAUGCAAGUCGAACGGUAGAGGGGCAACCCUCGAGAGUGGCGAACGGGUGAGUAAUGCAUCGGAACGUGCCCAGUAGUGGGGGAUAGCCCGGCGAAAGCCGGAUUAAUACCGCAUACGACCUCAGGGUGAAAGCGGGGGACUCGCAAGAGCCUCGCGCUAUUGGAGCGGCCGAUGUCAGAUUAGGUAGUUGGUUGGGUAAAGGCCCACCAAGCCGACGAUCUGUAGCUGGUCUGAGAGGACGACCAGCCACACUGGGACUGAGACACGGCCCAGACUCCUACGGGAGGCAGCAGUGGGGAAUUUUGGACAAUGGACGAAAGUCUGAUCCAGCCAUGCCGCGUGCGGGAAGAAGGCCUUCGGGUUGUAAACCGCUUUUGUCAGGGAAGAAAUCUUCUGGGCUAAUACCCCGGGAGGAUGACGGUACCUGAAGAAUAAGCACCGGCUAACCACGUGCCAGCCGCCGCGGUAA